Molecule: RNA transcript, 2425 nt
Organism: Brassica napus (rape)
Lineage: Eukaryota; Viridiplantae; Streptophyta; Magnoliopsida; Brassicales; Brassicaceae
Exons: 10
Source: RefSeq, a predicted model, not a curated record
UCAGUAAAGCAGAGAACAAAUAAAAAUAAGAAAACUCCAAAGGAGACAUGAAGACAAGAAAACAAAGUGCUACAAAAACAAAGAACGAACCAGACACCAACACUUAACUGUACUUAUUACUAAACUUACUCUCUCUCUCUCUCUCUCUCUCUCUUUAUCUUCCGGAGUGCUCUAUCUUAAAAUCUGAGGUCGUAGCUGGAAUCAGUUUCAUUCAAUAGCCUCUGAGCCACCCCCAAAGAUGAUUCCAAUGGAUAAUCACUUUGUGCCGCCGAGCACUAGCACCACCGGUCUUGUAUUCCCGGCGAUUUACGCUGCCUCCGGGUUACAGCCACCUGUGGAUACUUUGGCUUCUGUGGCUGGAGUCAAAUCUGAAGCUGCUUUGGUCAUGGAUUGGUCCCCUGAGGAGCAGUUUGUACUGGAGAACAGCCUUGCAAAAUUAACAAAUAAACCGAAGAUUUCAAAGUAUGUAAAGAUUGCUGCAACACUACCAGAUAAAACUGUGAGGGAUGUAGCAUUGAGGUGUAGAUGGAUGUCGGGAAAACGGAGAAAAAGAAAAGAAAAUAGUGCUGGGAAGAACGUUUACAAUAGAAAGGUGGUGGAUACAUCCCCAGAACUGAGCAUGUUAGCCAAUGUGCCACAACAAAAUGCUUUAUAUGUCAUGAACAAUAUGUGCCACAGUACACACAUGCCUCGUGAAGGUUUAAGUGAUGCAGUAAUGGAUCUUCUACAGCAAAACGCUCAAGCGUUUAGUCAAAUUUCAUACAACCUCUCUGUGUGCAAGCUGCAGGAUAACAUCAGUCUCUUUGAUCAGACAAGAAAUAACAUCAGCGCCAUUCUGACUAAUAUGAAGGAGAUGCCAGGUAUCAUGAGCAGGAUGUCGGCUCUACCUGUUACAGUUAACGAUGAUCUUGCAAGCCAUUUAUUGUCGAGUACAACACAGCCAACAUCAUACACCAUUCACCCAAGCAGCCACCUGAAGCAAGAGCCGAGAAUUUGAUGGGGAAAAGCUGGAUUUUGACGGAUGCUAAAGGAAACAGCACUAGUACCUGGUAAGUGAUGGACAUGACAUGACAUGACACAGACACAAGGGUUAUGAACUGCAGACACCUCUCCAAAUCACACACGGGAUUGACAAUCGGCACUGGUGGAAUACUUGUGCUCUGGGGGGAGUUUGACUGAGAAGAAUGAACUACAGGCCGAGGGACCCUUACUUUUAAGACAGACAACAGUGUAACUUCGAGACUAUAAUGGCUUGUAACUCAUAACACAGCUUAGCAAGGUGGCAGAGGAAACUAUUACAGCCGGUUUAUGCAGUUUUCCAAGAAGACAAGGGUGGAGUUUCAGAGUUCUUGUAGGUAACUAUAUAAGUAGCUGAUCUUUCCCCUUUCACAGAAUCUGGACGUCCCAUGGCUUCAAGCUCAGCCAUCUCUUGGCUUGUGAGUUUCACAGAUAAAGCUCCAAUGUUCUGAUUAAGGUUUUUGAUCUUGGAGGUUCCUGGAAAGGGGCAGACAUCAUCUCCUUGGUUGGUGAACCCAUGCGAGUGCUAGUUGUACAGGAGUGCAGCUUUUCUUUUCCGCCAUUGCAUUUACCUUCUCAUAGAGAAUCUUGUUGUGGUCUUAGUUCUCUUGUUGGAAUCUCGGUAAGCCCUGGAAUAUAGCAAAACAUAGUCUUAGUAUAACAUUCAUAAUAAGAUUUUGAUACUCCAUGAAUCCAUGUUGCCUUUCUGUAGUUAGCAUUGUCUAUAUUCUCAAUGAGCUUUGGCCCUUUAGCAAAGAAGCCUAGUCCCAGAGGACUGUAAGCUACAAUUCCAAUCCCAAGUUCCCUGCAAGUAGGAAUGAUAUCUUCUUCAACAUCUCUGGACCAUAAAGACCAUUCUAGCUGCACGGCGGUGAGCGGGUGAACAGCAUGAGCUCUCCUUAUAGUCGAAGCAGAGGCUUCAGAGAGACCAAUGUACUUUAUCUUACCCUAUUCAACCAGCUUCUUCAGCUCUCCCAUCUUUGAAAUCACAAUGUGAACCUUUCCCAAAAGCAACUCGUUGAUCUCGGGACCGUAGACGUCAGAGGUGUCUAGGAGCGUGAUGCCAGAGUUGAUGGCAUGGUGAAUGAGAGCAAUGUGAUCUGCUUCCAACUUGUCAGCUCCGUCCGAGAUGGAAAGUCCCAUACAACCAAGACCUUGCGCUGAUACUUCAAAACCUUGGUUUCCUAGCUUGAUCCUCCGCACUUCACCAGCAGCCGCCAUUGAUUGAUUAAUUGAUCUCUGGAGAUAGAGAGACUCUUUAAAUUUGAAAGCUGUUUCAGGAGGGAUUUAUAAGAGUGGAUUUACAAGCCUUGAAAUGGCUUCAAGAACUAAUCCAAUAUGUCAAACAAGGAAUAUAAAAGUCUUGUUAACGUGUUCUAUUUUGAUUUGUCUAAAAAAGGUUUGCUUU